GUCGUCAGGACGAACGCUGGCGGCGUGCCUAAUACAUGCAAGUCGAACGGUCUUUCUAUGGAAGCUUGCUUCCGCUGAGAAGAUAGUGGCGAACGGGUGAGUAACACGUGGGUAACCUGCCCAUAAGAGGGGGGAUAACAUCCGGAAACGGGUGCUAAUACCGCAUAGUUUUCUUGAUCGCAUGAUCGGGAAAGAAAAGACGGCCUUUGUGCUGUCGCUUAUGGAUGGACCCGCGGCGUAUUAGUUAGUUGGUGAGGUAACGGCUCACCAAGACGAUGAUACGUAGCCGACCUGAGAGGGUGAUCGGCCACAUUGGGACUGAGACACGGCCCAAACUCCUACGGGAGGCAGCAGUAGGGAAUCUUCCGCAAUGGACGAAAGUCUGACGGAGCAACGCCGCGUGAGUGAAGAAAGGUUUUCGGAUCGUAAAACUCUGUUGUCAGAGAAGAACAAGUUGGAGAGUAACUGCUCCAGCCUUGACGGUAUCUGACCAGAAAGCCACGGCUAACUACGUGCCAGCCGCUGC
This 526-nucleotide ribosomal RNA is filed under the name uncultured bacterium. RNAcentral's name for it is "bacterial SSU rRNA". It matches the Rfam family "Bacterial small subunit ribosomal RNA", at positions 26 to 518 of the family's 1533-position model. The record is from RNAcentral.